AUGCGGUAUGACGGUACCCUUUCGAAUAAGAGGUUGCUAACUCUGUGCCAGCAGCAGCGGUAAUACAGAGACCUCGAGCGUUAUCCGGAUUUACUGGGCGUAAAGCGUCUGUAGGGGGUUUGUUAAGUUCCAAGUAAAAUCUUAAGGCUCAACUUUAAGUUCGCUUGGAAAACUAAUAAACUGGAGUCCAGCAGAGGUGCAUGGAACUUGCGGUGUAGGAGUGAAAUCCGUUGAUAUCGCAAGGAACACCAAAGGCGAAUGCAUUGCACUGGGCUGGUACUGACCCUGAGAGACGAAAGCGUGGGGAGCAAAAACGGAUUAGAUACCCGUGUAGUCCACGCCGUAAACGAUGGAUACUAGAUGUUCGGGGAUUUGACCCCCUGGGUGUCACAGCUAACGCGUUAAGUAUCCCGCCUGGGAAGUACGGCCGCAAGGCUAAAACUCAAAGGAAUAGACGGGGAUCCGCACAAGCGGUGGAGCGUCUGGUUUAAUUUGAUAGUAAGCAAUGGACCUCACCAAGGUUUGACAUCCUAUGACAACCCUGGAAACAGGGCUUCCUUCGGGCAUAGUGACAGGUGCUGCAUGGUCGUCGUCAGUUCGUGCCGUGAGGUGUUCCGUUAAGUCGGGAAACGAACGAAACCCUCGUCGCAUGUUACAAAUUUCAUGCGAGACUGCCCGGGUCAACCGGGAGGAAGGCGGGGAUGACGUCAGAUCAGCAUGGCCCUUAUACCUUGGGCUACACAGGCGCUACAAUGGCCGGUACAAAGGGUUGCAAAACCGCGAGGUGAAGCUAAUCCCAUAAAGCCGGUCCAAGUUCGGAUUGGAGGCUGCAACUCGCCUCCAUGAAGUUGGAAUCGCUAGUAAUCGUGGAUCAGCCAUACCACGGUGAAUACGUUCCCGGAUCUUGUACUCACCGCCCGUCACACCAAGAGAGUUGGUAGCUCAUGAAGC
Molecule: ribosomal RNA, 951 nt
Filed under: uncultured organism
Description: bacterial SSU rRNA
Rfam family: Bacterial small subunit ribosomal RNA
Source: RNAcentral